AUGAGUUAAGUAUAAACCCCUUUACAAGUAUCAAUUGGAGGGCAAGUCUGGUGCCAGCAGCCGCGGUAAUUCCAGCUCCAAUAGCGUAUAUUAAAGUUGUUGCAGUUAAAAAGCUCGUAGUUGGAUUUCUGUUAAUAAUUUAUAUAAUAUUUUAACGAUAUUAUAUAAUAUUAACAUAAUUCAUAUUACUAUAUAUUUAGUAUAUGAAAUUUUACUUUGAGAAAAUUAGAGUGCUUAAAGCAGGCAUUUGCCUUGAAUACUCCAGCAUGGAAUAAUAUAAAAGAUUUUUAUCUUUUUUAUUGGUUCUAAGAUAAAAAUAAUGAUUAAUAGGGACAGUUGGGGGCAUUUGUAUUUAACAGUCAGAGGUGAAAUUCUUAGAUUUGUUAAAGACAAACUAAUGCGAAAGCAUUUGCCAAGGAUGUUUUCAUUAAUCAAGAACGAAAGUUAGGGGAUCGAAGACGAUCAGAUACCGUCGUAGU
Molecule: ribosomal RNA, 479 nt
Filed under: Cryptosporidium sp. vole genotype II
Lineage: Eukaryota; Apicomplexa; Conoidasida; Eucoccidiorida; Cryptosporidiidae
Description: SSU rRNA
Rfam family: Eukaryotic small subunit ribosomal RNA
Source: RNAcentral